Molecule: ribosomal RNA, 1299 nt
Filed under: Fasciola hepatica (liver fluke)
Lineage: Eukaryota; Metazoa; Platyhelminthes; Trematoda; Plagiorchiida; Fasciolidae
Description: SSU rRNA
Rfam family: Eukaryotic small subunit ribosomal RNA
Source: RNAcentral
UCGCUCGUGGGUCUGGCCUGGUUACUGCCGGGUUGAGCUUGCGAGUCGGUCUCGUGGUUGUGCUUCCUUUCUGCUGUGUCUGUUUACAGGUGUCAGCGUGACUGGUGGGCUUGCCUGCUAGUCUGUUGGCAUGCUUCUUGGUGCCUUUAAUCGGGUGUCGGAGGCGGACAGCACGUUUACUUUGAACAAAUUUGAGUGCUCAAAGCAGGCCUUUGUGCCUGAAAAUUCUUGCAUGGAAUAAUGAAAUGGGACUCUGGUUCUGUUUUGUUGGGUUUUGGAUCCGAAGUAGUGGCUAAGGGGGAUAGACUGAGGGAUUUGUAUGGCGGUGUCAGAGGUGAAAUUCUCGGAUCGUUACCAGACAUACUACGGUGAAAGUGUUUGCCGAAGAUAUUUUCAUUGAUCUUGAGCGAAAGUGAGAAGUUCGAAGGCGAUCAGAUGCCCCCCUAGUUGUGGCCAUAAAUGAAGCCAACUGACCAUCCGCGGUGGUUCCUUUUGUGUCCUCAAAGGCAGUCCCCGGGAGACCCUCAAGUCUUUGGGCUCCUGGGGAAGUACGAUUGCAAAGCUGAAACUUAAAGAAACUGACGGGAGGGCAUCACCAGGAGUAGAGCCUGCGGCUUAAUUCGACUCAACGCGAGAAAACUCAACCGGGUCGGACACUGUGAGGACUGACAGAUUGACAGGUCUUUUUGAUUCGAUGGUUGAUGGUACAUGGCCGUUCUUAGUUCGUGGAGCGAUUUGUCUGGUUAAUUCCGAUAACGAACGAGAUUCUGGCCCGCUAAAUAGUAUGCCUGUCCUCUGUGCUCGCGCAGGUUGCAUCGUCCAUUGCCUCCUCGUGGGGUAGUGGUUACGCUGGCCGGCGGGCGCUGCGCAUGUACUCACUUCUUAGGAAAACAAGCGGCAUUCAGUCUCACGAAAUUGAAAAAUAACAGACCUGUAGAGCACUUAGAUGUCCGGGGCCGCUUGUGCGCUACCACGACGCUUUCGGCAAGUUUGGAAUCCUGGCCUAAGCAGGUUGGGUAAACUGUAUCACAACCGUCGUGGCUGGGAUCGGAGCUAACAGUCGUUCCCCGUGAACGGGGAAUUCCUGGUGAAUGCAAGUCAUAAUCUUGCUCUAAUUACUUCCCUGCCCCUUGUACACACCACCCGUCGCUACUACCGAUUGGAUGGUUUAACAAGGUUCUCGGAUUGGUGCCUUUGUAGCGGCCCGGUCGCUCGACCGGUGCUGAGGAGACGACCAAACUUGAUCACUUAGAGGAAGUAAACGUCGUAACAAGGUCUCCGUAGGUUAACCUGUGGAAG